RNAcentral lists this ribosomal RNA (301 nucleotides) under uncultured bacterium. RNAcentral's name for it is "partial 16S ribosomal RNA". It matches the Rfam family "Bacterial small subunit ribosomal RNA", at positions 509 to 809 of the family's 1533-position model. The record is from RNAcentral.
CAGUAGCCACGGUAAUACGAAGGGUGCAAGCGUUACUCGGAAUUACUGGGCGUAAAGCGUGCGUAGGUGGUGGUUUAAGUCCGUUGUGAAAGCCCUGGGCUCAACCUGGGAAUUGCAGUGGAUACUGGGUCACUAGAGUGUGGUAGAGGAUAGUGGAAUUUCCGGUGUAGCAGUGAAAUGCGUAGAGAUCGGAAGGAACAUCUGUGGCGAAGGCGACUAUCUGGGCCAACACUGACACUGAGGCACGAAAGCGUGGGGAACAAACAGGAUUAGAUACCCCGGUAGUCCCUGUCUCUUAUAA